CCUGCAAAAACAACAAGACAUUAUUAUACGAACUAUAGGUGAAAGUAAACGAUUAAAUCAUAACACGUCGGGAUGAGACGACGUAAGCCGUCAUGUGAUUCAAGCACGCCGUGUUUGGCUAAUUGACCAUAUGUGAAUUCGUGAUUGGAUAUUGUUACUGACUUUAUUCAGGAACGUUUGUUUCCGGUAAUUUGGUCCCAUCGGCAAAAUCUGGCGGCGUGGUUACGCAACUUUUCCAUUACAACACACGUAACAUUUGAGGUGUUUGACCUAACCUAACCUGAAUUUUCUUCAUCACUAUUUGAGACAAUGAAGUUCUCCUUGAGCUUGCAUUUCAGAGGUUUGCCCACGGCUAAAGACCCGUGUGACGUCACAUCCGUGACGUCUCCCGAGGUUAGGUGUGCGGCGCAGGCGGCGAGAGCGGUUCAGUCGACAGCGAGCAGCGGCAGGGGUCAGAUCGGGAGCGGCAGCGGGAGGCGAGGCGAAGCGAGGUGAGUCGGUUUAUUUAAAUUAUUGUGUAUUGUGCGGUUUCGUUCAAUUUAUUCAGUUUGUUACUUGCCGUUGUCGCGAACGGACGUGUGCUCAAGCAAAUCUAAAUUUUCCGGUUUAAAUUUUAAAUUCGGUGACUAGUGAUCGCGUUUGAGUGACACAUUUUAAAUUCAGUAACUAUAAGUAAAAUCAAAGACUCAAAUAAUUUAUUGCCACGUAAUAAUUUUGUCUUUAAUUUUAAUGAAUGAAAGUGGCUUGCUCUAAAUUUAAUGCGAAUAAAGCUUUUUUAUUGGUUUUAUUUUUAUUAUUAUUUCAUUAAUGCUACAAACGGUAGCCAACGUGGAAGCGAUCUGAAGGUAGGUGUAUUUUAUUGUUGUAUCGUAUUUAUUUAUUUCACAAACCAAUAAUUCCUCAAAAUUUAAUUGCAAUUACAAUGUUGUGUACACCGGCUCUAAAUGCGGUGUUGAAAAGUCAUAAAUUGAGUGACACGUUUAAAAUCAAACACUCAAAUAAUUUAUCGUCGCGUACUGAUUUUGUCGUUAAUUUCAUUCGAUGAAAGUAAAGUCACUUGCUCAAAAUUUAAAGCAAACAUUUUUUUUCGGUUUCAUUUUUGUUAUUAUUUUUAUUUAUGCUACAAACGGUAGCCAACGUGGAAGCGAUAUGCAGGUACGUCCAUUUUAUUUUUGUGUCGUAUUUGUUUAUUUCACAAACCAAUAAUUCCUCAAAAUUUAAUUGCAAUUACAAUGUUGUGUACACCGGCUCUAAAUGCGGUGUUGAAAAGUGAUAAAUUGAGUGACACGUUUAAAAUCAAACACUCAAAUAAUUUAUCGUCGCGUACUGAUUUUGUCGUUAAUUUCAUUCGAUGAAAGUAAAGUCACUUGCUCAAAAUUUAAAGCAAACAUUUUUUUCGGUUUCAUUUUUGUUAUUAUUUUUAUUUAUGCUACAAACGGUAGCCAACGUGGAAGCGAUAUGCAGGUACGUCCAUUUUAUUUUUGUGUCGUAUUUGUUUAUUUCACAAACCAAUAAUUCCUCAAAAUUUAAUUGCAAUUACAAUGUUGUGUACACCGGCUCUAAAUGCGGUGUUGAAAAGUGAUAAAUUGAGUGACACGUUUAAAAUCAAACACUCAAAUAAUUUAUCGUCGCGUACUGAUUUUGUCGUUAAUUUCAUUCGAUGAAAGUAAAGUCACUUGCUCAAAAUUUAAUGCAAACAUUUUUUUUCGGGUUCAUUUUUGUUAUUAUUUUUAUUUAUGCUACAAACGGUAGCCAACGUGGAAGCGAUAUGAAGGUAGGUGCAUUUAUCUACUGAGGUGUUGAAAUUAAUGAUUUGAGUGCCAUUAUAUAUUGAAACGUAUUGUGUAUUCUUUAUUUUGUUUAAUAUUGACAAAAGUCGCUUGUUGUAACUUUUAUGCAAAUAAAGAUUUUUUAAUGGUGUUGUUUUUAUUUUUUUUAUGUUUUGCUACAAACAGUAGCCAACGCAGAAGCUAUAUAAAGUUAGGUGCAUUGUAUUAUAUUUGUGUUGUAUUUUUUAUAUCACAAACCAAUAAUUCCUUUAUUCCCUUUUAUUUUCUAAUAAUCAUUGUUUACCUCAUCCUUAUUUCCUUUUUUCCUGGCAAGAAUGCUCUAAACCUCCACGUGGUUCUUGCUGGACAAAUUAGAUAUUAACUAAUUAGUUAUUAACUAAUUUGACCAAUUAGAGCAAUCCUUAAAAUGUAAUAAGUAUUGCUGAUUGUUUUUUACAGCUGUAAAAUUAUGUCUCUUGUUGUAAUUUUUCUGCAAAUAAAGAUUUUUAU
Tribolium castaneum (red flour beetle) is the source of this 2279-nucleotide long non-coding RNA. RefSeq lists it as uncharacterized. NCBI's taxonomy places the organism in Eukaryota, Metazoa, Arthropoda, Insecta, Coleoptera, Tenebrionidae. The transcript is spliced from 3 exons. The record is from RefSeq and is a predicted model, not a curated record.